Molecule: ribosomal RNA, 490 nt
Filed under: uncultured bacterium
Lineage: Bacteria
Description: partial 16S ribosomal RNA
Rfam family: Bacterial small subunit ribosomal RNA
Source: RNAcentral
AAUGAACGCUGGCGGCAUGCCUUACACAUGCAAGUCGAACGGCAGCAUGACCUAGCUUGCUAGGUUGAUGGCGAGUGGCGAACGGGUGAGUAAUGCAUCGGAACGUGCCUUUUAGUGGGGGAUAACGUAGCGAAAGUUACGCUAAUACCGCAUAUUCUCUGAGGAGGAAAGCAGGGGACCUUCGGGCCUUGCGCUAGAAGAGCGGCCGAUGUCGGAUUAGCUAGUUGGUGAGGUAAAGGCUCACCAAGGCAACGAUCCGUAGCGGGUCUGAGAGGAUGAUCCGCCACACUGGGACUGAGACACGGCCCAGACUCCUACGGGAGGCAGCAGUGGGGAAUUUUGGACAAUGGGUGCAAGCCUGAUCCAGCCAUGCCGCGUGAGUGAAGAAGGCCUUCGGGUUGUAAAGCUCUUUCGGCUGGGAAGAAAUCGCACCCUCUAAUACAGGGUGUGGAUGACGGUACCAGCAUAAGAAGCACCGGCUAACUACGUG